CGCAGGGUCCUGCUCCUCUCUAAUUUGUUCAGACAUUGUGGUGUGUCUGGCCAUAUCAUUUGUCAUAGGUGUAAAAACAAUCACAACCAAAGCUUAAAGCUGUUGGGAUGAGCAGCUGCCUGGGAAUCACGCUCCUUCCUGCUCUUUCCAAAAAGCCAGGUGCCGCCGGCCAGCAUCCCGCUCCCUUUGACCCGCAGUCUGUGCGGGAAGUAGGCCCGGAGUGGUGCCAGCAGGAGGUGGCCUUAGAAAGGCGGAGACCCAAGGAGCAGAGUGAGUCGGCGUCCAGCUCCACCUGAAAGCGCCAUCUUGUCGCCACUUCCCUCAGGAGCAGCAUGCCCAGCCUCUUGCAUAGGAAGAAGUGGUAAGCUAAGGAGAGAAAUGCAGGGUUCCUAGUACACCAAUUUUCCAACUUUUUCAUCUUGGCCCUGCUUUAAAAUGAUGCAUCUACUGUCUUCAUGCCUCAGCACAGCAGAGGGUCACCUGAAUGUGGAAAAGUUGAGUUGGAGCAAAACUGGCACGGCCAUACUGGAUGGACCUCAGCAUGACCAGGACACAUUUCAGCUCAAAUCCCCUGUGCCAAGAACACAUUCUGCCAAGGACCACCACCUCUUCCCACAACUGUGAGUGGAUUUAUGUCAUCACAGGAGGUGCAAAAACGUGUGGUGAGAGAGCUGGCUUACCAGAGCACCGAUGGACUUGGAUACCUGAGAUAUCUGCUUGGGAUCCCACACUUUCAAGGUCUCUCCUCUGGCCUUCUUCUGGUUCUGCGACUCCUUACAGCGCUGGGAGUUGGUGAUGCCAACAGGACAUACGCUCCCAGAGCCUACCUCUCCCAGAUCACUUUAAAAGGCACCCAGGACCCCAGAAUUCUCAUCCUCAAAGGCAUGGAGCUCAGCUCUUGGCCCUCAACAAAUCUCUUCCCCAUAAAGAUCCUUUUGAGAGCUUAGGAUGUCCCCCGGAUGGUUUUGGUUGCAGAUUGUGGUGGUGGAGGGAGCUAUACAAUUUAAUCUAUUGCCAUUAAUUGGAUGCGCUAAUGGCAGAUUGGGUAGUGAUAAUGCCAUAAGAGGUAGUGUGUGAGCCGUGUGCUGCAUCUGUGCUAGCUCAGGUAAGUCAGCACACAGCACCUGCAGCCUCCUCUCACCUCUUCCCUGAGCAGCACCUUUUCACCUGAACAUGCUGAUCCCCUAGUGCUUCAUCUUGACAGCAACUUAACAAGCCCUGGGCAGCUUUUUAAAAUAAAUGACUAUGAUAUUGACUAUGAAUCUACAUAAAAGCCACUUGUUUUUUAGUCAUAAUCUGUGUCUAACUGCAGAAGAAAUUCACACCUUUGAAAAACAAAUAAAAAUGUAAAAAGUGAAAAUUGUUUGUAACCACAAUAUUCUGAAAUAGAACCUUUUUGUUAGAUCAUUUUCAAGAGGAUUUUUCAUACUUUCCUACAGUAAUACCAAUGUAUAUGCACUUGUAUAAAUUCUUGGUUAAAAUA
Homo sapiens (human) is the source of this 1483-nucleotide long non-coding RNA. Ensembl annotates it as long intergenic non-protein coding RNA 1501. NCBI's taxonomy places the organism in Eukaryota, Metazoa, Chordata, Mammalia, Primates, Hominidae. The record is from Ensembl.